This is a long non-coding RNA of Sapajus apella (tufted capuchin), 1139 nucleotides long. RefSeq lists it as uncharacterized. NCBI's taxonomy places the organism in Eukaryota, Metazoa, Chordata, Mammalia, Primates, Cebidae. The transcript is spliced from 2 exons. The record is from RefSeq and is a predicted model, not a curated record.
GCUGCCUGGGAGGGCCCCAGGAGUCUGGACGUUUGCUGUUUGAACAUGUUCAUGUUCCAUUUCUGAUAUUUUCUGUAAUAGACUCUUCCCUGUCCCUCUUAACAUUCAUAAGUGGGCAUUCAGUGGAGUGGGGGUUUUACGUAAGGAGGCUAUUUUGUGGGACUGAAGAGUUUCAACAACCUCUGGAAUGAAUAUAAAUAAAUAUGGCCAAGGAGACCAUUCUGACUUGCUGUGAUCCAGUAAUAAGUUAUCAAGGUUCAAUACAAAAGUGCAAGGUUACUUGUACCAAGGAACAGGUGGCUGCAUCCAUGGUAGGGGUCUCCUGGCCUUAGAAACCCAAAUUUGUUUUUUCUUACAGAUGCUAGUAUCUGGAUCCUCAUUGAUUCCAAUGAGAUGUAAACAUUGGUUGGAAUGAUCCCCAUUUUCAGGUGAAUAAUAAGACUCAGAGAAUAAAUUACCUGCCCCAAGAUCACACACUACUGUAGAAGUCAGGAACAAAUUUGGGUCUUCUGUUCCCUGAAAUAGUAAGCCUUUUCUACUCUUACACAUUCAGAGUACCAAACAGGUCGUUUUUUAACCCUUCCCUCCUUUCUCUCCCUCCUCUCUAGGAGUCCACAGUAUCUGUUGUUGCCAUCUUCAUGUUCAUAAGCACUCAGUGUUUAGCUCUCACUUGUAAGUGAGAACAUGCAGUAUUUGGUUUUCUGUUCCUGUGUUAACAUGCUUAGGAUAGUGACUUCCAGCUGUAUCCAUGCUACAAAGGACACGAUUGCCUUCUUUUUUAAUGGCUUUGACUGUUAGCAGUUUCUAAAUAUUCUUCUGGAAAACAUUUGUGUAUAUAUGUAUGUUGGUAUUUACAUAUAUGAAUGUGUCUUAUUGUUUUACAGUUAAUUUUUUUUAUUCGUCUGCUGUUUUAAUGUAGCCCGUGAAAUUGUUACGUAAUUCCUUAUAUUUUUCCAAAAAGAUUAUUAACUAGUUUCUUCCAGCUCAAUCCUAUUUGCCAAUAAUCCUUUCCCAGUUCAUUCUGUAAGGCUAAGUCUUCAUCUCCAAUCCCUGAUCCAACCCUGGCCAGGACUCUAGCCCUGUUUGUUAUAAGAAAGUUUCCAGUUGGGUGCAUUAGGAUUUUUUGGUUUGAAAAGACA